RNAcentral lists this long non-coding RNA (291 nucleotides) under Mytilus galloprovincialis (Mediterranean mussel). Lineage: Eukaryota; Metazoa; Mollusca; Bivalvia; Mytilida; Mytilidae. The record is from RNAcentral.
CUCAAAAACCAAAGCAUUUAGAGCAAAUCUGACAUGGGGUAAUAUUGUUUAUCAGGUCAAGAUCUAUCUGCCCUGAAAUUUUCAGAUGAAUCAGACAACCUGUUGUUGGGUUGCUGCCCCUGAAUUGGUAAUUUUAAGGAAAUUUUGCUGUUUUUGUUUAUUAUCUUGAAUAUAAUUAUAGAUAGAAAUAAACUGUAAACAGCAAUAAUGUUCAGCAAAGUAAGAUCUUCAAUUAAGUCAAUUUGACCAAAAUUGUCAAUUGACCCCUUAAGGAGUUAUUGCCCUUUAAAG